CCUACGGGAGGCAGCAGUAGGGAAUCUUCCACAAUGGGCGAAAGCCUGAUGGAGCAACGCCGCGUGGGUGAAGAAGGUCUUCGGAUCGUAAAACCCUGUUGUUAGAGAAGAAAGUGCGUGAGAGUAACUGUUCACGUUUCGACGGUAUCUAACCAGAAAGCCCCGGCUAACUACGUGCCAGCAGCCGCGGUAAUACGUAGGUGGCAAGCGUUAUCCGGAUUUAUUGGUCGUAAAGGGAACGCAGGCGGUCUUUUAAGUCUGAUGUGAACGCCUUCGGCUUAACCGGAGUAGUGCAUUGGAAACUGGGUGACUUGAGUGCAGAAGAGGAGAGUGGAACUCCAUGGGUAGCGGUGAAAUGCGUAGAUAUAUGGAAGAACACCAGUGGCGAAAGCGGCUCUCUGGUCUGUAACUGACGCUGAGGUUCGAAAGCGUGGGUAGCAAACAGGAUUAGAUACCCUAGUAGUC
Molecule: ribosomal RNA, 465 nt
Filed under: uncultured bacterium
Lineage: Bacteria
Description: partial 16S ribosomal RNA
Rfam family: Bacterial small subunit ribosomal RNA
Source: RNAcentral